Saccostrea cuccullata (small rock oyster) is the source of this 377-nucleotide long non-coding RNA. RefSeq lists it as uncharacterized. NCBI's taxonomy places the organism in Eukaryota, Metazoa, Mollusca, Bivalvia, Ostreida, Ostreidae. The record is from RefSeq and is a predicted model, not a curated record. The transcript is spliced from 4 exons.
AUUUAAACGAAGAUUUAUUUAUUGUCCAUCAAAAGAAAUGGUAUAAAAUGGAACAUUGCAUAUCCAGUAAGGUGCAUAUUUCAAGAUGCAUAAGUAUAUCAUCCUUUUGAGCUUUCUUGUUCUCCUGGCAGGAGUAAAUGUACAUGGUCAGGGAGGAGAAUGUCCCUUCGGACUUUAUCCUGUUAGUUACACAGCUUGUCAACACACCUUCCAUUGUCCAAGGGGAGCAUUUUGCUUUUUCAGUCGCCCUUGGAGGCAGCACGGUGUGUGUUGUCCCUACUUUUGGAACAGAAUGUGAUUUGCAUAUGCCGAUCAUCAGGAAUGACUAAACAACGAAUUGUUUCAUUAACUAGGAAAUAAAGUGGAACAAUUUUCUG